Molecule: transfer RNA, 75 nt
Filed under: Candidatus Woykebacteria bacterium RIFCSPHIGHO2_12_FULL_45_10
Lineage: Bacteria; Candidatus Woykeibacteriota
Description: tRNA-Pro
Rfam family: tRNA
About the family: Transfer RNA (tRNA) molecules are approximately 80 nucleotides in length. Their secondary structure includes four short double-helical elements and three loops (D, anti-codon, and T loops).
Source: RNAcentral
CGGGGUGUAGUUCAGUGGCAGAACGCAGGGCUGGGGGUCCUGAUGUCGGAGGUUCGAUUCCUCUCACCCCGACCA